This 496-nucleotide ribosomal RNA is filed under the name uncultured bacterium. RNAcentral describes it as "partial 16S ribosomal RNA". It matches the Rfam family "Bacterial small subunit ribosomal RNA", at positions 29 to 507 of the family's 1533-position model. The record is from RNAcentral.
AUGAACGCUGGCGGCGUGCCUAAUACAUGCAAGUCGAGCGAACAGACGAGGAGCUUGCUCCUCUGACGUUAGCGGCGGACGGGUGAGUAACACGUGGAUAACCUACCUAUAAGACUGGGAUAACUUCGGGAAACCGGAGCUAAUGCCGGAUAAUAUAUUGAACCGCAUGGUUCAAUAGUGAAAGACGGUUUUGCUGUCACUUAUAGAUGGAUCCGCGCCGCAUUAGCUAGUUGGUAAGGUAACGGCUUACCAAGGCAACGAUGCGUAGCCGACCUGAGAGGGUGAUCGGCCACACUGGAACUGAGACACGGUCCAGACUCCUACGGGAGGCGGCAGUAGGGAAUCUUCCGCAAUGGGCGAAAGCUUGACGGAGCAACGCCGCGUGAGUGAUGAAGGUCUUCGGAUCGUAAAACUCUGUUAUUAGGGAAGAACAAAUGUGUAAGUAACUAUGCACGUCUUGACGGUACCUAAUCAGAAAGCCACGGCUAACUACGUG